Molecule: long non-coding RNA, 259 nt
Filed under: Sorghum bicolor (sorghum)
Lineage: Eukaryota; Viridiplantae; Streptophyta; Magnoliopsida; Poales; Poaceae
Description: long non-coding RNA (SBIC_LNC010342)
Source: RNAcentral
AUGAGAUCUUAUUUAAAAAGCAUGUGUACCGUCAAUUUUUAAAGAUAUUGCAACAACUUAUGAUCCAUAGCUGAGUCUAUCCUUGCUCAGGGACGAGCAAGAGGUAAGCUUAGGGGAGUUUGUUGACGGUCCUUAAGUAUCAAAUUUAAUUAUCAAAUAAAUAAAGAAAAGGAUCCAAAUGAAAUCAACAUCUAGACUUAGGGUUUUAUCUGACAGAAUUCCACGAGUUUUGGUGUUUGUCUAUUUCUGCAGGGGGUUA